GUCUGCGGUCAUGUCACCCUGAAUGUGCCCGAUCUCGGAAGCUAAGCAGGGUCAGGCCUGGUUAGUACUUGGAUGGGAGAGACCACCUAGGAAUACCAGGUUCUGUAGGUG
Molecule: ribosomal RNA, 111 nt
Filed under: Pteropus alecto (black flying fox)
Lineage: Eukaryota; Metazoa; Chordata; Mammalia; Chiroptera; Pteropodidae
Source: RNAcentral